Molecule: ribosomal RNA, 474 nt
Filed under: uncultured organism
Description: partial 16S ribosomal RNA
Rfam family: Bacterial small subunit ribosomal RNA
Source: RNAcentral
GUACACUCCUACGGGAGGCAGCAGUGGGGAAUUUUGGACAAUGGGCGAAAGCCUGAUCCAGCAAUGCCGCGUGCAGGAUGAAGGCCUUCGGGUUGUAAACUGCUUUUGUACGGAACGAAAAAGCUCCUUCUAAUACAGGGGGCCCAUGACGGUAACGUAAGAAUAAGCACCGGCUAACUACGUGCCAGCAGCCGCGGUAAUACGUAGGGUGCGAGCGUUAAUCGGAAUUACUGGGCGUAAAGCGUGCGCAGGCGGUUAUGUAAGACAGAUGUGAAAUCCCCGGGCUCAACCUGGGAACUGCAUUUGUGACUGCAUGGCUAGAGUACGGUAGAGGGGGAUGGAAUUCCGCGUGUAGCAGUGAAAUGCGUAGAUAUGCGGAGGAACACCGAUGGCGAAGGCAAUCCCCUGGACCUGUACUGACGCUCAUGCACGAAAGCGUGGGGAGCAAACAGGAUUAGAAACCCUGGUAGUCCA